Small nucleolar RNA from Cynara cardunculus var. scolymus (artichoke), 80 nucleotides. Lineage: Eukaryota; Viridiplantae; Streptophyta; Magnoliopsida; Asterales; Asteraceae. The record is from RefSeq and is a predicted model, not a curated record.
CUGCAGAUGAUGAAAAAACUUGAAUUUGGGCUGAUUUCAACCAUGAGGCUCCAAAUCGAGCUUUUUAAAACUGAUGCUUU